This is a non-coding RNA of Ictidomys tridecemlineatus (thirteen-lined ground squirrel), 69 nucleotides long. Lineage: Eukaryota; Metazoa; Chordata; Mammalia; Rodentia; Sciuridae. The record is from Rfam.
GGGUUUGUGGCUCAGUGGCAGAGCGCUUGCCUCGCACAUAUGAGGCACUGGGUUCAAUCCUCAGCACCA